This 276-nucleotide ribosomal RNA is filed under the name uncultured bacterium. Its description in RNAcentral is "partial 16S ribosomal RNA". The record is from RNAcentral.
CUGCUGCCUUCCGUAGGAGUCUGGUCCGUGUCUCAGUACCAGUGUGGGGGGCCUUCCUCUCAGAACCCCUACGCAUCGUCGCCUCGGUGGGCCGUUACCCCGCCGACUAGCUAAUACGCCGCAUGCCCAUCCGUGGCCGGGAUUGCUCCCUUUGGCGGCCUUGGGAUGUCCCUAGGCCGCGUUACGCGGUAUUAGACGGGGUUUCCCCCGCUUAUCCCCCUGCCACGGGCAGGUUGCAUACGUGUUACUCACCCGUGCGCCGGUCGCCGGCAACGG